Molecule: ribosomal RNA, 253 nt
Filed under: uncultured bacterium
Lineage: Bacteria
Description: partial 16S ribosomal RNA
Rfam family: Bacterial small subunit ribosomal RNA
Source: RNAcentral
UACGGAGGGGGCUAGCGUUGUUCGGAAUUACUGGGCGUAAAGCGCACGUAGGCGGCUUUGUAAGUUAGAGGUGAAAGCCCGGAGCUCAACUCCGGAACUGCCUUUAAGACUGCAUCGCUUGAACGUUGGAGAGGUAAGUGGAAUUCCGAGUGUAGAGGUGAAAUUCGUAGAUAUUCGGAAGAACACCAGUGGCGAAGGCGACUUACUGGACAACUGUUGACGCUGAGGUGCGAAAGCGUGGGGAGCAAACAGG